AUCGUGGAAUGGCUCUUCAAUAUUUCCAUAGAGAUAUCCUCGCCAUCACAUUAUCAUAGUUAUAGCAAGAUAUAUUUGUGCAUAAAUUGCAUUAAGGAGGUGGUACCUCAAGAUCAAGAAUUGUAGAUUCUUCAAGCAACUAAAUCCUUCAUUGGUUGUCAUAUAAGUUAAGUCAUAUAAUAGACUUUAGAUGCAUAUCAAGUUUUUCAUGUCAUGAUAAAUAAAUAAGAUAUCGAAAACUGAUUACACAUACCAUUGACUUUAUACUUUCAAGUAUUCGAACUACAUGUCCAAAAUUACAUGUCUUUCAUAUGGAAUCAAUUCUACUAGAAUUGUAUCUCUUCUAUUUGGCCAAUAUUUUUGUUUGUAUUCGACAAACAUAAGAUCCUCAUAGAUAUUUAGCACUAUCAUAGAUGUCGUCGACGAACAUUUUAUAUCGGUUCCAGUAAAUUUUCA
RNAcentral lists this long non-coding RNA (456 nucleotides) under Nicotiana benthamiana. RNAcentral describes it as "long non-coding RNA (NBEN_LNC006528)". The record is from RNAcentral. Lineage: Eukaryota; Viridiplantae; Streptophyta; Magnoliopsida; Solanales; Solanaceae.